AGAGUUUGAUCAUGGCUCAGGAUGAACGCUGGCGGCGUGCCUAAUACAUGCAAGUAGAGCGAACGGACGAGAAGCUUGCUUCUCUGAUGUUAGCGGCGGACGGGUGAGUAACACGUGGAUAACCUACCUAUAAGACUGGGAUAACUUCGGGAAACCGGAGCUAAUACCAGAUAAUAUUUUGAACCGCAUGGUUCAAAAGUGAAAGACGGUCUUGCUGUCACUUAUAGAUGGAUCCGCGCUGCAUUAGUUAGUUGGUAAGGUAACGGCUUACCAAGGCAACGAUGCAUAGCCGACCUGAGAGGGUGAUCGGCCACACUGGAACUGAGACACGGUCCAGACUCCUACGGGAGGCAGCAGUAGGGAAUCUUCCGCAAUGGGCGAAAGCCUGACGGAGCAACGCCGCGUGGGUGAUGAAAGUCUUCGGAUCGUAAAACUCUGUUAUUAGGGAAGAACAUAUGUGUAAGUAACUGUGCACAUCUUGACGGUACCUAAUCAGAAAGCCACGGCUAACUACGUGCCAGCAGCCGCGGUAAUACGUAGGUGGCAAGCGUUAUCCGGAAUUAUUGGGCGUAAAGCGCGCGUAGGCGGUUUUUUAAGUCUGAUGUGAAAGCCCACGGCUCAACCGUGGAGGGUCAUUGGAAACUGGAAAACUUGAGUGCAGAAGAGGAAAGUGGAAUUCCAUGUGUAGCGGUGAAAUGCGCAGAGAUAUGGAGGAACACCAGUGGCGAAGGCGACUUUCUGGUCUGUAACUGACGCUGAUGUGCGAAAGCGUGGGGAUCAAACAGGAUUAGAUACCCUGGUAGUCC
This 806-nucleotide ribosomal RNA is filed under the name uncultured bacterium. RNAcentral describes it as "bacterial SSU rRNA". It matches the Rfam family "Bacterial small subunit ribosomal RNA", at positions 8 to 796 of the family's 1533-position model. The record is from RNAcentral.